CGCAAGGGGUGACUGCGUACCUUUUGUAUAAUGGGUCAGCGACUUACAUUCAGUGGCAAGCUUAACCGAGUAGGGGAGGCGUAGGGAAACCGAGUCCGAACAGGGCGUUCAAGUCGCUGGGUGUAGACCCGAAACCAGGUGAUCUAUCCAUGGCCAGGAUGAAGGUGCGGUAACACGCACUGGAGGUCCGAACCGACUAGUGUUGCAAAACUAGCGGAUGAGCUGUGGAUAGGGGUGAAAGGCUAAACAAACCUGGAGAUAGCUGGUUCUCUCCGAAAACUAUUUAGGUAGUGCCUCAAGUAUUACCAUCGGGGGUAGAGCACUGUUAUGGCUAGGGGGUCAUGGCGACUUACCAAACCAUUGCAAACUCCGAAUACCGAUGAGUACAGCUUGGGAGACAGUGCACCGGGUGCUAACGUCCGGACACAAGAGGGAAACAACCCAGACCGCCAGCUAAGGUCCCCAAAAUUGGCUAAGUGGGAAACGAAGUGGGAAGGCUAAAACAGUCAGGAUGUUGGCUUAGAAGCAGCCAUCAUUUAAAGAAAGCGUAAUAGCUCACUGAUCGAGUCGUCCUGCGCGGAAGAUGUAACGGGGCUAAGCCAGUUACCGAAGCUGCGGAUUUGCAAUUUAUUGCAAGUGGUAGGAGAGCGUUCUGUACGCCUGUGAAGGUGGAUCGUGAGGUCUGCUGGAGGUAUCAGAAGUGCGAAUGCUGACAUGAGUAGCGUUAAAGAGGGUGAAAAGCCCUCUCGCCGAAAGCGCAAGGUUUCCUACGCAACGUUCAUCGGCGUAGGGUGAGUCGGCCCCUAAGGCGAGGCAGAGAUGCGUAGCUGAUGGGAAACAGGUCAAUAUUCCUGUACCGAUNNNNNNNNNNNNNNNNNNNNNNNNNNNUUUAAAGAAAGCGUAAUAGCUCACUGAUCGAGUCGUCCUGCGCGGAAGAUGUAACGGGGCUAAGCCAGUUACCGAAGCUGCGGAUUUGCAAUUUAUUGCAAGUGGUAGGAGAGCGUUCUGUACGCCUGUGAAGGUGGAUCGUGAGGUCUGCUGGAGGUAUCAGAAGUGCGAAUGCUGACAUGAGUAGCGUUAAAGAGGGUGAAAAGCCCUCUCGCCGAAAGCGCAAGGUUUCCUACGCAACGUUCAUCGGCGUAGGGUGAGUCGGCCCCUAAGGCGAGGCAGAGAUGCGUAGCUGAUGGGAAACAGGUCAAUAUUCCUGUACCGAUCUAUAGUGCGAUGUGGGGACGGAGAAGGUUAACUCAGCCGGGUGUUGGAUGUCCCGGUUCAAGCCUGUAGUCAUGCCUGGUAGGCAAAUCCGCCGGGCUUAGAUGAGGGGUGAUAACGAGUCUGCUUGCAGACGAAGUGAGUGAUACCCUGCUUCCAGGAAAAGCCACUAAGCUUCAGCUAUAGACGACCGUACCGCAAACCGACACUGGUGCGCGAGAUGAGUAUUCUAAGGCGCUUGAGAGAACUCUGGAGAAGGAACUCGGCAAAUUGACACCGUAACUUCGGAAGAAGGUGUGCCUUUAGUAGGUGAAGUCCCUCGCGGAUGGAGCCCAAUGAGGUUGCAAAGAAUCGGUGGCUGCGACUGUUUAAUAAAAACACAGCACUCUGCAAAGACGAAAGUCGACGUAUAGGGUGUGACGCCUGCCCGGUGCUGGAAGAUUAAAUGAUGGGGUGCAAGCUCUUGAUUGAAGUCCCAGUAAACGGCGGCCGUAACUAUAACGGUCCUAAGGUAGCGAAAUUCCUUGUCGGGUAAGUUCCGACCUGCACGAAUGGCGUAACGAUGGCCACACUGUCUCCUCCAGAGACUCAGCGAAGUUGAAAUGUUUGUGAUGAUGCAAUCUCCCCGCGGAAAGACGGAAAGACCCCAUGAACCUUUACUGUAGCUUUACAUUGGACUUUGAACAGAUCUGUGUAGGAUAGGUGGGAGGCUUUGAAGUAGGGACGCUAGUUCUUAUGGAGCCAACGUUGAAAUACCACCCUGGUGUGUUUGAGGUUCUAACCUUGGUCCGUGAUCCGGAUUGGGGACAGUGUAUGGUGGGCAGUUUGACUGGGGCGGUCUCCUCCCAAAGUGUAACGGAGGAGUUCGAAGGUACGCUAGCCACGGUCGGAAAUCGUGGUGAUAGUGCAUUGGCAUAAGCGUGCUUGACUGCGAGACUGACAAGUCGAGCAGGUACGAAAGUAGGACAAAGUGAUCCGGUGGUUCUGUAUGGAAGGGCCAUCGCUCAACGGAUAAAAGGUACUCUGGGGAUAACAGGCUGAUACCGCCCAAGAGUUCAUAUCGACGGCGGUGUUUGGCACCUCGAUGUCG
This 2302-nucleotide ribosomal RNA is filed under the name metagenome. RNAcentral describes it as "bacterial LSU rRNA". It matches the Rfam family "Bacterial large subunit ribosomal RNA", at positions 585 to 2534 of the family's 2925-position model. The record is from RNAcentral.